RNAcentral lists this long non-coding RNA (899 nucleotides) under Cricetulus griseus (Chinese hamster). RNAcentral describes it as "lncRNA (ENSCGRG00015036169.1)". Lineage: Eukaryota; Metazoa; Chordata; Mammalia; Rodentia; Cricetidae. The record is from RNAcentral.
GAACAGGACAAAAACAAGGCUACUCCAAAACAAGGAAGUAGAGGCUCCUUCAGGAAAAGAAGACACAGAUGAGUGCCCUACUGCUAGUGUUCAGAAGGUUGGAGUAGAACAUAACCAUGUAAUCUGGGCUCUGCAAACACUAGCAGAAAGCUUUAGAAGCUUCCAGACGUUUGCUAUCCCAUUCAGUAAGGUGCCUGAGGGAAGAUGGACGUCUUCUGAACAGUAAAAAUCCAGAGUCUAAAGAGAGAUCUUCACUGAAGUCACAUAACAAUCAGCUCUGCUUAAUCUCUAUGAAGAUAAUAGCACAAUGAGAGGUGACAAGAUCCAAACAGCAUAACAAAUCCUAGGUGGUACAAGGAAAAACAGAAGGACAGGCAUGGUCAGGAACGAUGGGAAUAAGGAACUCCCAGAUCUCAUUAUGGGUUGUAGCAUUUGCUUCUCGCUCUGUAACAGAAGUUGAAAAAGACCUUGUCACAGAGUGCCCUAGAUAACACUGAAUUGUUCUAAGGAGUCAAGAGACAGUCAUCUGUUUGUUAGAGUGGCUUACUUCUCAUGGGGACCAGUUUCACACGCAGUAUUUCUAGAGCAGUGACCACUGAAGCUCUGUGACAUUCCUGACUUAGUUCUCAAUCAAGUCAACACAGCACUGAGCACUGUCUGGGGACUAGGGUUAGAUGUGAUAGUGCCCAGAGAUUAUCAAGUUGUUUGUACAACUUCUAACUUGACACUCCCCUAUCUGUAAAAAUGCUGAUGUAUUUUUUAAUUCCUCCUUCGGCCUAUCUGGAUCUUCAAAUUGAUGUUUAAGAUAAUGUCCUCAUUAGUGGUGAAAAAUAAAUAAAAAGAAGAAACUCAACAUAUCCUUCUUAGCUGAAUUCAGUGUAUGGGAUAUUAAGAGCCCU